UACGGGGGGGGCAAGCGUUGUUCGGAAUUACUGGGCGUAAAGGGCUCGUAGGCGGCCAACUAAGUCAGACGUGAAAUCCCUCGGCUUAACCGGGGAACUGCGUCUGAUACUGGAUGGCUUGAGAUUGGGAGAGGGAUGCGGAAUUCCAGGUGUAGCGGUGAAAUGCGUAGAUAUCUGGAGGAACACCGGUUGCGAAGGCGGCAUCCUGGACCAACACUGACGCUGAGGAGCGAAAGCCAGGGGAGCAAACGGG
RNAcentral lists this ribosomal RNA (253 nucleotides) under uncultured bacterium. RNAcentral's name for it is "partial 16S ribosomal RNA". It matches the Rfam family "Bacterial small subunit ribosomal RNA", at positions 524 to 776 of the family's 1533-position model. The record is from RNAcentral.